Molecule: long non-coding RNA, 2766 nt
Organism: Gadus morhua (Atlantic cod)
Lineage: Eukaryota; Metazoa; Chordata; Actinopteri; Gadiformes; Gadidae
Source: Ensembl
CCCCCCACCGCCUGACCCCAUUAAGCAGCGACAACAAUACACGGCGAUGGGGGUCCCUGACUUCUGGAUCUCUUCCCCUCAUGGAGCCAAGAUCCACCAAGAAACAAACCGUCCAUCCUUCUCUCUCACCUUCCAUUCCUUCCUUCCUUCCUUACUUUCUUUACCCCCCCCCCCCCCCCGUGCAAGAGACACUGCAAAAGCCACGGCCAAUGUAUUAAAUGUUAUUUAUUUUAUCACAAAUCUGUGUAGUAAUUUAUACUGUAAAUAAUGGAAAAUACUCUAUAAACACUAGAGGACAACCAUCACCCGCGUGUGGAAGAUCACGCAGUCGUAGUUGGAGGAAGGAGAAACGACUGAAGAGACUGACCAAGAUUAAUAUAUAGAGAUACUUCUGUUGUACAUAGAAGCUGCGGUUAAAACUAUUGAAUGUCUGCUGUCCAAGGGGAAACUUUAACAUUCAAAUGGGUUUUGAUUUUGCGUGCUAGUCUUCACUGGCCUGCCCAAAUUGUCAUGGGGGGAUCUUACCUCGAUGCAUUCUGGGUCCAACUGUAUGAACACUGAAGACAGAGGGCAUCUUCCAAAAUGGCCGCUAGCUGUACAUUUCAGCUCACUGUCCAGUCGUACUUCAUCACUAUAUUCAUGAACGAACAACAUGUGUGGACUCGAACAAACACUCGCUCACUUUGUACAAGUAACACAUGUCCCUUGCAGUUAAAACGAUCACGCACUGACACAUACACACACAUACACGAUUCCAAGAUUAUUAUUAUUUAUUUUUUUAUUCCUGUUUAUCCUGGACAACAAAUCUUUUUGCACAUAAAGAACCUUUCCGAGUUGUUGUCUUGAACCUUGACAGAACCACUGCUGCGGUCUUCACUCAGCCCAUUACUUACUAAAAAAAUAGAUUACCGAAGUCAUGUAGGGGGACGGAUCUGAAUUUAAGUUAAUUACUAAAUGAGAGUUCAUUGAUUGGCCUUGUGAGCCGUCAAACCUUUCUCGGAAGACACAGCAUUCCCUCCUUAAUGUAGACCGGUACAGGGAAGCAGCUACCAAUCCCUCUUCCUUUGCAUAUGCAUUAGUGUUUAAACUGACCAUUCGUGACUGGCUGAGGCUAGUACUGGAAUUAACAAGACGUUCUGUUUUAAGGUUUUUGAGUCAUAGCUAAUAUGUUGUUGGUUUUUGGUUCAGUACAGAGCUAGCUGACGAGUCCCCCAGUACCUAAAUGUUGGUUUUGGAGUAGGCUCGAUUAAAAAAACGCUUUUUACUGGAACGCAAAGUACUGGGUCAGAAUCCUCGCCAUCCCAAAAUGAGUUCUGCUGUCAUGACGACGAGAAGCUCACAUCAUCUCAUCUUUUCUAAAUUGUGACACGUCUCUUAAGCUGCAUACUGUAUGGUAAGCUCCAUGAUGUAACACACUGUGGAAUAUCCUCUGUAUGACUUAUUCAGAGACAGGCAAUGUUUUCAGAGGCCAUGACAGUUAUACCGAGCAGCAUAAGCAAUGCUUCAGCUACUGCUGCAUCUGAUGGCUAAAAUAGAUUUGUGGCCACAUAACAAACAAUAUUAUGAGGGAACGAUCAGAUAUGAAAGAAGGUGUCGCCCCUUGUUAAUGCUGGAAACGUUAAAUAUAGGCUGUGGGUUUAAUUAUUUGUUUAUGUCGGAUGAAAAUUAUCCUUUGUUUGAGUGUUUAAAUGGUAUGGCAUUCUCUUUUAAACAGAGAAAAAUAACGGUGGUAAGGAUUGCUGAUAUUACAUGGUUAUAGGGGAACUUGCACAAAUGACACCCAAUAAUUGAAACGCAAUGGGCAAAUAAUAAUAUCUCAUUGAAAAUGCCAGUUAACACAUUACGUUGGAAACACUUACACUGUUAGCAGCUGCACUGCUGAUACCAAGACCUUGAUUUGUAAACGCAUUUCGGCAGUAUUUGGGACUAGUUACCCUUCGAUUUGUUCCUUUAAAUUGUUUUAUUGCUUAAUUUAUUCUAUGUCAAAUGUCAACUAAUUAUAAUUGUAUUUAUUUCCUGUCUGUGUACUAUCCAAUGAAGAUGUUUGAAAUAUAAAUGCACUCCAAACUCUCUCCUGACGAUGAUUAGGCAGAGUUAAUGCCAGCAACAUUUGAAAGUGGCAGUUAAAAGUAAAUUUGAUGAAGAGAUGUUGUCACCUGUCGUCUUAAUAUAGCUGGUUCAUGUAAAUAUGAACUAGUCAUGCACUAAAUGUAAACUUUGUAGCUUAUAAUUAUCAGAUAGUUCAUAGUUUAUUAGUUUACUGUGCUAAUUGCCUUGAAUGAACUUGAUAAUCUCUGCAAUUUUGCUCUGAACUAUAACAUUAAGAAAAUACAAUAUUGUUAAAGCAUGAAUUCCUUAAUCUUCCAUUCCUCUUUUGUGCUGAAUCCACACUGCUACUAGGAAUGGAUAAUAAAGGUUACCUAUAGAAACACCAUAGUCCACAUUAACGUCCAGAGAGAGCACGCCCAGAACCUCUUUACCCACAAUGCCUUGUUCUGAAAUGCAGCUUUACGCAAAAGAGAAACACGCUUUUGUUAACUGAUUUGUUUUGUUUUGUUUGACAUUCCAGAUUUGACAUCACAAAGCAUGUACUUCUUUUUAUUAAUAAUUUCUAAUAAACUAUGCAUCAACCGACACACAAACACACCAAUUAUUGACAGAAACGUACACACACACACCUCCCCUGCAUCUGUAGGCCUACUGGUUCAAGUUAACGGCUGAAUGACAUCACUGUUUGAAUAUGGAGAUCUGAUAUUAAAAACUAUA